Molecule: long non-coding RNA, 2751 nt
Filed under: Homo sapiens (human)
Lineage: Eukaryota; Metazoa; Chordata; Mammalia; Primates; Hominidae
Description: HSALNT0358451
Source: RNAcentral
ACACACAGCUAGCUCUUCAGGCCAGGCCCCCAGGGUUUCGUCCACCUCUCACCUUUGACGACGCGAGACGGGAUCUCACUGUGUUGCCCAGGCUGGUCUCGAACUGCUGGACUCAAGUCAUCCUCCCAUCUUGGCCUCCCAAAGUGCUGGAAUUACAGUGGACAACCUUCAAUGCACUGGUACUUUGUACCCUGACCUCUACUGUGAUGAACACUCAACUUGGGCAAGGAAGUGAAAUUCUCCAAAGCAAGGAGGAGGGUGCUCUGAAUAGAUGGACCCUGAUUCUACUUACAAAACUGUGGGAAGAAACCGGAGCUUCCUCCCUCUCUGAGACAACGGUGCCACUGAGACUGCGUGAGAUGCGACGUAAAUUCUCUGCACUGUACUGCUCAUCCUCCCCACACUCCCUGCUGAGGCCUCGGCAAGGUGUAGCCUUCAAACACACAGACACAUACAGGCAGACACAUAAUACCAGACUUAUGGUUUUCCCACAGACAGUAUCCUCAGGGUAUGGGAAAGAGUAGGGGAAGACUCAGUAGUAAUAGACACCUGAAUUAGAUGUAUUGGUAAGAUAGUGGCCAUGUAACAAUCUCCUCUAAUUCAAAAGAAGCCCAAUCAUAGACCUUAUUUUCUUCUGAUAGCCCCAUAUCACCAUGCCUCUGCCUUAUCAUCAUCCCUGUCACAUCUCUCCAUAAUUCCUUCCCCAACACACCACCCCAGGCCCAGCACCUUAGCACCUGAGGCUGCUACCUGAGAAGUACGCACUGUUCUGGCUUCAUGGAGACCAUGCUCCAUUUCUGCUGUUGAAGUCUUUGAGAGACCAGGAUCAUGGGCUGAGUGCAACCUCCUCCCCAUGCCAUCUGCAGAGCCUGAAGAGGAAAACACAAAUACAAGUUGAGGCCAUCUCUUCCCCUAGGGCCUAACCUCUAAGCCUAGCAGCACAAACUCAGGAGCUGUUGUUUCAUUUAAUAAUAAAUAUGCAUCCUUGAAUUCAACGGAGGAACAUGCUCCUGGAAUUUAGAAGCAAGAGGGGCUGGGCGCGGUGGCUCACACCUGUAAUCCCAGCACUUUGGGAGGCCAACACGGGCAGAUCACGAGGUCAGGAGAUCGAGACCACCCUGGCUAACAUGGUAAAACCCUGUCUCUACUAAAAAUACAAAAAAUUAGCCGGGCGUGGUGGCAGGCACCUGUAAUCCCAGCUACUCGGGAGGCUGAGGCAGGAGAAUGGCGUGAACCCGGGAGGCGUAGCUUGCAGUGAGCGGAGAUCACGCCACUGCACUCCAGCCCGGGUGACAGAGCGAGACUCCGUCUCAAAAAAAAAAAGAAACAAGAAUUUUAGAAUAUAGAUAGUUUACUGAGUGUCCCCAUCUUGCUUCAUUUCAUUUUUGUAAACAUAAUCAGCUUCUGUCAGACUUAGGCUCAAGACUUAUAGACAGAGGAAAGUAUCUAACACAGUGAGUUUUGUUUUCUAACACAGUGAUUUUCUAAAGUAUCUGUGGUGACAAAGGAAAUUAUCUCCAGUCUAGUUCAGAAUAGAAAUGAUCAUAAUAAUCAUCUAUCAAACCUCCUCAUUUUAUAUAACAGGAAAAUGAGUUCCAGGGUCUGAGAGUUUAGUAGUUUAACCAGGAUUAAAAUUAAAUCCUCUUGAUUUUCAGUACAGUACUCUUACCAUCUCACCUGGUGACCUCUUUUACUCUGAGAGCAGGAGCUCCUCAGGAAUGUUUUACAUAUGUAAUGCUCUUUUCCCCUUAGCUUCUCUCAAAUCAUUUAAAUUUCUAAACAACCACUAAAUGCUUACCUCUUUUCAAAAUCUUUCUAGAUUGUUCAGUUGCUCUAAACUGGAUUGGUGACUCCCAAGGGGCUAUCCCCAAUCCAACUAAUUAAGUUUUCCAUUCCAAAACUGUAUAUGCCCCUGACCUACAUUUGAUACAUAUGUCCAUGGCCAAUUCAUGUCUUGAUUUGAUGAUUUGAUUCUAAUAUAUAUAUAUAUAUCUGGCUGAAGCUGAUAUUAUUCAUGUAAGUAUUGUAAGACCAGUUAUUUUCAGUAUUCCUGGGUACUUAAAUGCAGUGCUUUCAAUACCACCUCAGAUUCAUCUGGGAACUUUUAAAAAUAUAGCUUCCUGGAUGUUACCACAGAGCUGAAUCAGAAGGUUUGUGGUUGGUGCCUGGGAAUUUUCAUUUUUGAAAGGUUCCCAAAAAGUCUAAGAAAAUAUCCUUGAACAUUAUUGGGGGAAAUGGGAAAUGUUACAGUCUUCCUAAAAAACAACCUGGUAAUCUCCAAUAAAAUAAAAAAUAUAUUUAUCCUGUUGCCCAACGAUUCUAAUCCUGAGAAGAAGAAGAAAAAAAUACCAGUUCAUAACAACAUAUAUAUGAGAAUAUUUUCUACUGACAUAAUUUAUAGUAGCCAAGAACUAGAAAUAAAGUAAUGCCCACCUAUAGAAGAAUAAAUACAUUAUGGUUUAAUACCAGAUAUUGUCCAGCCACUUAAAAAGAUUGAACUGAGUUAAACUAGAUGAUUUGAAGAAAUUUUAAUGAAACAUUGUUGCAUUAAAAGGAAAAAAAUCUGUAAAAUGAUAGACAAGCAUUUGUUUAUGUAUAUGUAGGUCUACAUAGGAUUGUAUAAACAGAAAAUACAGUGUAUGCACACUAGAUAAUUACCUGGGGAAGUAGGGACUGGCUGUGAGAGAAGAGACAGGAAAAUUGUCUAUAAUAAAAACAGCAUGUGUGUUAUGUUCUUAUUUCUAUAAAAUU